GCGGAUGGCUGGAUGGCUGCGGCAGCAAUGUCGAGGAAAGUCCGGACUCCACAAAGCACGGUGCCGGGUAACGCCCGGCGGGGAUAACCCCAGGGAAAGCGCCACAGAGAACAGACUACCUGACAUGUCAGGAAAAGGUGAAACGGUGGGGUAAGAGCCCACCGCGCGCUGGGCAACCAGGGCGGCACGGCAAGCCCCACCGGGAGCAAUGCCAAAUAGGGACCGCGUGCGGCGUUGAUCCGGCAACGGAUAUCACCCGCAGGGAGGCUUGAACCCGAGCGGUCCGGGUUGGCAGCUAGAGGGGGUCUGGUAACAGGCCCCCCAGAUGAAUGGUCAUCCAACCGCCGGUAUCGGCGGGGGACAGAAUCCGGCUUAUAGGCCAUCCGCGCAG
Molecule: RNase P RNA, 391 nt
Filed under: Yoonia sp.
Lineage: Bacteria; Pseudomonadati; Pseudomonadota; Alphaproteobacteria; Rhodobacterales; Paracoccaceae
Description: RNase P RNA component class A
Rfam family: Bacterial RNase P class A
About the family: Ribonuclease P (RNase P) is a ubiquitous endoribonuclease, found in archaea, bacteria and eukarya as well as chloroplasts and mitochondria. Its best characterised activity is the generation of mature 5'-ends of tRNAs by cleaving the 5'-leader elements of precursor-tRNAs.
Source: RNAcentral